GAAACAUUAGUUGCGUAUCUUCUCAUGAUCGGCUGAAACCUCUAUGGCUCAAACAAUAAUAAUGAUAUAGCAAUAAAUUUAAAUUAUGUCAAAUAAAAGUGAAAUAAAAUUCUUACCUCACAUAGAUAGCGUAAUAUUUAUUAAUAGCGAGAAACUUCAUCACAAAUACGAAACUGUGUAAACGUGCGGCGUAGUUCGGCAGCCAUAUUAACAGCAAGCUAUUCGAGCGAGACAUGGAGCGAGGCGUGCGCAGCUGAAAAGAUUUUUCUAGAGGAACCUGUGGUGUCAUUGCCUGUGUAACCUCAUUUAAGUAGUAUUAGUGUUGGACAUUUUCACCUUUGGAAGACGGCAUGAUUACAGGCCAACGGAUGACACCUGUUUUAACACCGACUACGCGGCUUUGUGGACCCAUCGUGUUUGGAUUGACGUGCGCACUUUUCCCUGCUCUUGAUUCUGCCAUUUGGAGAUGGUGAUGUGCAAGAGUUACGAAAUGUGUAAACGUGUGCAAGGUCAUCAAGGGAGCAUUCAAGAUGUUUCAUCGCUAAACACAAGCUCAAGUGUCCCAAUAAAUGUCCAAUUUCAACACCAA
Long non-coding RNA from Dermacentor albipictus, 589 nucleotides. RefSeq lists it as uncharacterized. NCBI's taxonomy places the organism in Eukaryota, Metazoa, Arthropoda, Arachnida, Ixodida, Ixodidae. The record is from RefSeq and is a predicted model, not a curated record.